Long non-coding RNA from Cygnus olor (mute swan), 669 nucleotides. RefSeq lists it as uncharacterized. The transcript has 4 exons. Lineage: Eukaryota; Metazoa; Chordata; Aves; Anseriformes; Anatidae. The record is from RefSeq and is a predicted model, not a curated record.
CACGGUGAUUAGACGAGAUGACCACAGGAAGACACAACCACCAUGACGCAGCCACUUAAUAGCUCCUCGUGCAGAAGGUUCUGCAGCACCUCCAGGUCAUUCAUCACACACCACAUAAAAACGAGGAGGAGCUAAAGUGAGAAAAUCUGCAGGAGAUCACGAUAUAACCUCACUCACUCCAACUGCUCGUAACCACAACAAGAAUUUGGGGAGCAGUGCAAAGGUGUCGCUGAGGCUGUUCCACCCAGGCAGAGCUGCUGAGACACCCCAGAGCCAGAUCGGGAGGUGAGCAACAGGGCUAUGAAACAGAGUCAUGGACAGAUCCUGCUGGGAGCAGCCGCUUGCACUGCUGUACCUGGGGAUUACAUCCGCUCAGGAGGGCUCCCAACCCGUCGGAUUGAGUGUAAAGGCAGAGGAGGAGAAAAUCUUCUUGAAAUUGAAUGUGAUGACAGGUUUGUGGAGCGAAGGCCAAAGCCUGGAGACGGCUCCAAGUGGCUUUGUUGGGGCAGACACCCAGGUAACUCAAAUUGGAUCCUGCCUCUUGGAACAAGUUCUGACAUCACUUACUCCGGUGCAGCCGGGGUUAUUCAUUUGGGCUAAGCAAAUUAAAAGGUUCUGCUUAGCCUCUCCCUUGCUUUGCUUUUAUACUGUCAGUGUAAUUGAAGCUAC